AAGUCGUAACAAGGUUUCCGUAGGUGAACCUGCGGAAGGAUCAUUAACAAAUUCAAACACAAAAACCCUGUUGCAAUGUUUUCCUUUUCCUUUUUUUUCUUCACUUCUCUUCUUCACCUCUUUCUUUCUUUUUCAUUCAUCUCUCAGAGAAUAGAAUGAGAUAGAUAGAUAUAUAUAUGAGGGAAGAUGAAGUGUAUGUAGGAGGAAAAAAAGGGAUUGGAUAUCCUUUUUAAAUUAACUUUUGAUAGUCAGUCAAGAUGAAUUAAAUGUUAUAAACAACUUUUAACAAUGGAUCUCUUGGCUCUU
RNAcentral lists this unclassified non-coding RNA (306 nucleotides) under fungal sp. RNAcentral's name for it is "partial internal transcribed spacer region". The stretch from base 1 to 46 matches the Rfam family "Eukaryotic small subunit ribosomal RNA", at positions 1786 to 1831 of the family's 1831-position model. Lineage: Eukaryota; Fungi. The record is from RNAcentral.